AGUCCUAUGGUUUAGUGGUAUAACGUUCGCUUCACAUAUCGGAGUGCGCGAAAGGUCCUGGGUUCGAUCCCCAGUGGGACUA
Transfer RNA from Clohesyomyces aquaticus, 82 nucleotides. It matches the Rfam family "tRNA". From Rfam's summary of the family: Transfer RNA (tRNA) molecules are approximately 80 nucleotides in length. Their secondary structure includes four short double-helical elements and three loops (D, anti-codon, and T loops). NCBI's taxonomy places the organism in Eukaryota, Fungi, Ascomycota, Dothideomycetes, Pleosporales, Lindgomycetaceae. The record is from Rfam.